RNAcentral lists this ribosomal RNA (491 nucleotides) under uncultured bacterium. RNAcentral's name for it is "partial 16S ribosomal RNA". It matches the Rfam family "Bacterial small subunit ribosomal RNA", at positions 29 to 507 of the family's 1533-position model. The record is from RNAcentral.
AUGAACGCUAGCUAUAGGCUUAACACAUGCAAGUCGAGGGGAAACGGCAUUAUGUGCUUGCACAUUUUGGACGUCGACCGGCGCACGGGUGAGUAUCGCGUAUCCAACCUGCCCUUUACUUGGGGAUACCCCGUUGAAAGACGGCCUAAUACCCGAUGUAAUUCAUUGACGGCAUCAGAUAUGAAUAAAAGAUUUAUCGGUAAAGGAUGGGGAUGCGUCUGAUUAGCUUGUUGGUGAGGUAACGGCUCACCAAGGCGACGAUCAGUAGGGGUUCUGAGAGGAAGGUCCCCCACAUUGGAACUGAGACACGGUCCAAACUCCUACGGGAGGCAGCAGUGAGGAAUAUUGGUCAAUGGGCGCAAGCCUGAACCAGCCAAGUAGCGUGCAGGAAGACGGCCCUAUGGGUUGUAAACUGCUUUUAUACGAGAAUAAUUUGAUGCACGUGUGCGUUAUUGCAUGUAUCGUAUGAAUAAGGACCGGCUAAUUCCGUG